UAUAAUUCAUUCUUUUGACUCAAAUGCUCAAGAUGAUAUAAGAUUUAACUAUCAAUCCUAAUUUAGUUGAUCAUAUUAUAUUUCAACCUUUCAAAUCCAUCUCAUGAAUUACUCUGAUCAAGAUUUUACUAAAUUGAAAUACACUGAUGCAUAUCUCCUACUAAUUUAAAGAGGUCAAUUCCAUCUUGACUCACACACC
Molecule: long non-coding RNA, 199 nt
Filed under: Elaeis guineensis (African oil palm)
Lineage: Eukaryota; Viridiplantae; Streptophyta; Magnoliopsida; Arecales; Arecaceae
Description: long non-coding RNA (EGUI_LNC012486)
Source: RNAcentral